UACAGAGGGGGCAAGCGUUAUUCGGAAUUAUUGGGCGUAAAGGGCGCGUAGGCGGCUUGGCAAGUGGAUGGUGAAAUCCCUCGGCUUAACCGAGGAACUGCCAUCCAGACUGCUGCACUAGAGGAAGACAGAGGUACGCGGAACUUAGGGUGGAGCGGUGAAAUGCGUUGAUAUCCUAAGGAACACCGGUGGCGAAAGCGGCGUACUGGGUCUUAUCUGACGCUGAGGCACGAAAGCGAGGGGAGCGAACGGG
RNAcentral lists this ribosomal RNA (253 nucleotides) under uncultured bacterium. RNAcentral describes it as "partial 16S ribosomal RNA". It matches the Rfam family "Bacterial small subunit ribosomal RNA", at positions 524 to 776 of the family's 1533-position model. The record is from RNAcentral.